This 497-nucleotide ribosomal RNA is filed under the name uncultured bacterium. RNAcentral describes it as "partial 16S ribosomal RNA". It matches the Rfam family "Bacterial small subunit ribosomal RNA", at positions 28 to 507 of the family's 1533-position model. The record is from RNAcentral.
GAUGAACGCUGGCGGCGUGCCUAAUACAUGCAAGUCGAGCGAACGGACGAGAAGCUUGCUUCUCUGAUGUUAGCGGCGGACGGGUGAGUAACACGUGGAUAACCUACCUAUAAGACUGGGAUAACUUCGGGAAACCGGAGCUAAUACCGGAUAAUAUUUUUAACCGCAUGGUUCAAAAGUGAAAGACGGUCUUGCUGUCACUUAUAGAUGGAUCCGCGCUGCAUUAGCUAGUUGGUAAGGUAACGGCUUACCAAGGCAACGAUGCAUAGCCGACCUGAGAGGGUGAUCGGCCACACUGGAACUGAGACACGGUCCAGACUCCUACGGGAGGCAGCAGUAGGGAAUCUUCCGCAAUGGGCGAAAGCCUGACGGAGCAACGCCGCGUGAGUGAUGAAGGUCUUCGGAUCGUAAAACUCUGUUAUUAGGGAAGAACAUAUGUGUAAGUAACUGUGCACAUCUUGACAGUACCUAAUCAGAAAGCCACGGCUAACUACGUG